AUUUGAUGCAUUAACAGCUUCAGCAUUAUCUCUGUCAAUUUCCAUUUCUGUGAUCCCAUCGACAGGAUUUCUAUCCUGUUGAGAAUUCAGAUCACUGUGUUCACCCUGCCGAGUUUCAGUGUGAACAGUAGUACCCUCAUUCAGAUCACUGUAUUCACCCUGCUGAGUUUUGGUGUGAACAGUAGUACCAACAGACUGUACUUGCUCAUCAUUGCCAUUAAUUAAAGGCACAGAGCUCCCUUCAAAUCCACCUUCAGCAAUAUCAGGUCU
RNAcentral lists this long non-coding RNA (270 nucleotides) under Gossypium raimondii (Peruvian cotton). RNAcentral's name for it is "long non-coding RNA (GRAI_LNC003310)". Lineage: Eukaryota; Viridiplantae; Streptophyta; Magnoliopsida; Malvales; Malvaceae. The record is from RNAcentral.